Salmo salar (Atlantic salmon) is the source of this 515-nucleotide non-coding RNA. NCBI's taxonomy places the organism in Eukaryota, Metazoa, Chordata, Actinopteri, Salmoniformes, Salmonidae. The record is from RefSeq and is a predicted model, not a curated record.
GUAUAAUAUCAUAUAUACUUUUUUCCCCUACUGUAUUAUUGACUGUAUGUUUGUUUUACUCCAUGUGUAACUCUGUGUUGUUGUAUGUUGUCGAACUGCUUUGCUUUAUCUUGACCAGGUCGCAGUUGUAAAUGAGAACUUGUUCUCAACUAGCCUACCUGGUUAAAUAAAGGUGAAAUAAAACAGAAUGUAAAAAGGGAUUCAGCAACACCCAUUGGUGAGUAUUUAGUUAUGUAUUCUACUGGAAACACGUGACCUGUCCUACUACGUCGUCGUCAGCUGAGACAGGCGACAUGGCGACUUCAGCGGGAUUUAAGGUUCUAUAUGAGCAUGAUGGAGUUUUUAUACACACCAACCCAGAAAGGAGUGAGGAGCAGGAUUCUCUCACUUCAGGAUUCCUGCGUGUCCUGGACCAGGAUGGAGACAUAGUGCUGGAAUAUAAACCCAUGGAAGAUGUUGACCACUCUGCCAUGCUGUGUGCUGCCAAGGUUAGACUUCAUUUGCAUAUCUUUAGA